This 1675-nucleotide long non-coding RNA is filed under the name Citrus x clementina. RNAcentral describes it as "Citrus clementina (C. clementina) long non-coding RNA (CCLE_LNC004100)". The record is from RNAcentral. Lineage: Eukaryota; Viridiplantae; Streptophyta; Magnoliopsida; Sapindales; Rutaceae.
UAUUGAAAAUUUACAUUAAUUUUUAGGGUAAAUUUAUCUUUUUACCUCAUUUUGAGUUUCAAGAGCGAAAUAGUCAAUUUGCCACAAUUCUGUUAACUUUCUAAUAGAAGUUAAUGGAUUGAUGGAUGACAGAAGUGUUUUGUCAACUUAGGAUAUACGAGCGAUACACUUGAAAAGUGUUCACACGUUUGAUACGAGUGUCAUUUAAGGGUAUAUGACUGAUAAUUUCCCUAAUAAGUAUCCCUCUUAUCGGGAAUCCCCAAUUGUCAAUUCAAAGAAAGGAUUUCGAAAUCGAAUUUUUGACCUUGUUUUGAAAUAGGUAAAUUACUAAAAAAAAAAAUUAAAUAAAUAUAUAUUACAUAGAAACAAAAAAGAAUAAUAUAAUACAGUGUACCAAUAGCACCCUUAAUAUCUUACAUACAUCAAGAGUUUUAAGAAUGUGAUUUUCGGUGACACAAGAUUGAGUAUGUGCCAAUAGCACCCUCAGUAUCUUACAGACAUCAAGAGUUUUAAGAAUGUGAUUUUUGGUGAGACAAGAUUGAGUAUUUUUCACCAAAAGUCUUAAUUCAAUCAUAUGAUCUUGUUUAUCCUCUCUUGUUAACAUAUGGGAAAUGUUGGAUGGAAUCUAAGCAACCUUAAUUUACUAUAUAAACCAUCGAGACUAGAGAUGGUAAAAAGUCCCUGUGAGUAUGGAGCUCGUUGGGGCUCAUUUUGUUAGGGGCAAGUAUUGGAUUUAAUUAUAUUUCUAUUUUACAAAAAUGAUCGGGUACAAUAUAAUUUUUUAUACCCAGUAAUUGGGCAGUUUGGAUAUGGGCAUAAAAUACUGAUACUCAUAUGCAUUCACUAAAUUCAUUUGACUAUUGAUGAUUUAUUUUUUAAAAAGUUUUAAAAGCUAAAAUUAAUAGCUAAAUCUGAUAAAUAUUAAAGUAAAAAAUUGAAAACCUAAAGUAUAAACAUUAGCACUUGGCAUCUUAGUAAGAAAAAAAGACCAUUUAACAUGAUAUUAUGGCAGACGUUUAUCGAAAUUUUAGUCAUUUAAAGAAUUAGGCAUUUAUUAGACUAUUUAAAAUAUUGUACUAACAAGAAAUAAAUGAUAAUAUGAAACUUGUUUGAAUUAGGGUUAGUUGAAAUAGGUGAAGAAUGGACAAGGAAAUUCCAAAGCGUAGACUUUUGAUUUUGAUCCAAAUAUUUAGUAGUACAUUGAUUAAAAUUGAACUACAACCAUCAAAUUAUAAUUAAUAUUUACCUAAAAUUGAAACUAUUUUUUAAAAAUAUUUUAGAAUAAAAUGUUGCAUGUUCAUCUAAAGCUAAAUAGUUGAGAUAUCAUUUUUUCUUUUUUUAGAAAAUAAAAGGGGACAUAGGGGAUAGGGGAAGGGAUGAAUAUCUGCUAAUUUUUAUUGGGGAAUCCCUAAUAUGUGCCCAUUCAAGCCCACAUUAGGUAAGGAUUGGUAAUGGGGAUGUCCCUGACCAAAAGAUGUACGGGGUACAUAUAUUAGCAUUUUCGCAUAAUACCUAGCCUGUUGCCAUCCUUAAUCGAGACUAGAGGUGGUAAAAAUACCCGUCUGGUCCGGAUUCGCACUGUACCCGGACGUUGUGGGUCGGGUAUUAUCCGGCUCUGGUAUGAAGCCGGAUCGGUCUUGAGCAUCACUUGAUAAACCUGGAACUCAAAUUUUAU